UAAAUUAUUUAAAUUAGAAAAGUGGUCAGGGACACACUUAGUUAUUUGUAUUUCCUCAACCUCCGAUGGAUUGAUACUGUGUCGCUAUUUGGCUGCCCCAUAUUGGCGUGGUGCCUUCAAAACAACGACCUACGCUUUUAUUUCGGAUGGUGAUCACUGUGCAGCCACCAAUCUCAUGAUAUUUGCUACGAGAGAGAAGACGAGCUAUGUAGAGGAGCAAAAGUCGCAACUUGUUUAUGAGCCGUUUCAUCCAAAUAAUACCAGAUUCGGGUGGAACAAGCCGGAUAAAUCUGCCCAUAAUGGAAAAUUAUCAUCGAGACAGAUACCCUUUUCGAUUAAAUAAUGGACUUUUUUCCACGACUGUCUUGAUUACGUACGUACAUUCUCACAAAUAAGUAAACAAUACUCGCGAAUUUGGAGUCAUCAUCAUGGUGCAUAAAAGGAGCACAAACAACUUAUGGGAUUUUGCGCUGCCUGUAAUUAUGUACGUAGGUAAAACUGGAUGCAUUAAAUUAAUAUGUGAUGUAUUUAGUGGUCAGUGGUGGGCGAAUAUUUAUAUUGUUCGAGUGGCGAGAUUAAUGUGGACGUGAUGAUGACAGACUGGGGCUGGCUGGCUCAUGGGGAAAAACUUGUUUGAACUUUAUGUGGAUCUUCUUUUUCUAGGUAUUCGCGAAUAGUGCAGAAUUCUCAGGAGAGAUGCACUUUUCUGAUCGUGUGCAGUCAAAGAUCUCCGCAGGUAGAGACAUUAAUCAAAAAAGAUUUUGCAACUCUUUGCCAAAAAAUUGACACUAAUUGAUUAAAGUGCACUACUAAAUAACAACUUUUUGCGUCUAAUUGCAUUAUUGGGAAUGCCAAAUUUCUUGCUUGAUACGCAAAAAGUGCAUAAUAAUGCAGAUAAUUUUACCUUAUUC
Folsomia candida is the source of this 911-nucleotide long non-coding RNA. RefSeq lists it as uncharacterized. The transcript has 3 exons. Lineage: Eukaryota; Metazoa; Arthropoda; Collembola; Entomobryomorpha; Isotomidae. The record is from RefSeq and is a predicted model, not a curated record.